AUGUCAUACUCGGACGACGACAGUCUCCCGGGGGAGUGCAGCUGGUGCCACGAUGAUCGAGGUAUGUGCGACAGGUUCGUUGAGCUGGAUGAAGAUCGGCGCUUCAGCAUUAAACUCAAGGAGACCUUCGAUGUUGAAACGCUUAUCUCAUGCCAUGCAAGACGCUAUGUCUUGGAGAGGCUGGGUUUUGAAGACCAUGAAAAUUUUCAAACAAAGAAAAUACACCUAAGGACCCAUCAUGAUAUCGAUUUUGAAGUAAAUAUGUACAAUUCUCAAAGCGUAACCCAUUUUGGUUGCCAAAAUUGGGAAGCACUUUGCAAAAUGUAUGGUUUUUAUGAGGGUAUGAUUGUCACCAUGGAUCUUGGUGAUCCUGACAUCGAGCAAGACAAUAUGGACAUUUGGGUCCUUGUUGAUACGCUUCCAAUUCUACCGCAAUCUUAUUUUGAAUCUUCAAAGAAUGUGCAGAAGAUGGUAGACAAAACCCACUACACUGAUGGCUCCGAAUUAACUUAUAAGGAGAAAAAUUAUCUGAUUGCUUAUUGUACUUUUUUUGAGAAUUACAAUACCUAUUAUCGAACUCCUCCAAAUUAUGGUGAAUACGUGCCACUAGUGCACGCGUUGAACCGCGGUAACUUCAAUGGAGAUACCCUGUUAUGA
Molecule: ribosomal RNA, 657 nt
Filed under: Triticum aestivum (bread wheat)
Lineage: Eukaryota; Viridiplantae; Streptophyta; Magnoliopsida; Poales; Poaceae
Description: partial small subunit ribosomal RNA
Source: RNAcentral